CUAGUAAGGCUUGGUAUUGGGGCACCCAGGCUGUUGGCCUGGGGCUCCCAAGUCUAUCGGCGGGCUCGCCUGGACUUCUGAGUGUAGUAACUCGUGGUAAAACGCGCCUCACUCGGUAUGUCAGGUGGGUUCUUGCCGCUAAACCCUCAAUAUAACAUAAGGUUGACCUCGGAUCAGGUAGGAAUACCCGCUGAACUUAA
RNAcentral lists this unclassified non-coding RNA (200 nucleotides) under soil metagenome. Its description in RNAcentral is "partial contains internal transcribed spacer 2 and large subunit ribosomal RNA". The record is from RNAcentral.